This 85-nucleotide transfer RNA is filed under the name Chloropicon sp. RCC4434. RNAcentral's name for it is "tRNA-Ser". It matches the Rfam family "tRNA". Rfam says of the family: Transfer RNA (tRNA) molecules are approximately 80 nucleotides in length. Their secondary structure includes four short double-helical elements and three loops (D, anti-codon, and T loops). The record is from RNAcentral. Lineage: Eukaryota; Viridiplantae; Chlorophyta; Chloropicophyceae; Chloropicales; Chloropicaceae.
GUUUAGAUAACCAAAUGGCCGAAGGUGUAACAUUGGAAAUGUUAUGUAUAUAUUUAUACCGAGGGUUUAAAUCCCUCUCUUUCCG